Molecule: ribosomal RNA, 459 nt
Filed under: uncultured bacterium
Lineage: Bacteria
Description: partial 16S ribosomal RNA
Rfam family: Bacterial small subunit ribosomal RNA
Source: RNAcentral
CUACGGGGCGCACCAGUGAGGAAUAUUGGACAAUGGAGGCAACUCUGAUCCAGCCAUGCCGCGUGCAGGAAGACGGCCCUACGGGUUGUAAACUGCUUUUAUACAGGAAGAAACGCCGCUACGUGUAGCGGUUUGACGGUACUGUACGAAUAAGGAUCGGCUAACUCCGUGCCAGCAGCCGCGGUAAUACGGAGGAUCCAAGCGUUAUCCGGAAUCAUUGGGUUUAAAGGGUCCGUAGGCGAUUUUUUAAGUCAGAGGUGAAAUCCUGCAGCUCAACUGUAGCAUUGCCUUUGAUACUGAAAGACUUGAGUUAUUGUGAAGUAGUUAGAAUGUGUAGUGUAGCGGUGAAAUGCAUAGAUAUUACACAGAAUACCGAUUGCGAAGGCAGAUUACUAACAAUAUACUGACGCUGAGGGACGAAAGCGUGGGUAGCGAACAGGAUUAGAUACCCUUGUAGUC